UACGGGGGGGGGCAAGCGUUGUUCGGAAUUACUGGGCGUAAAGGGCGCGUAGGCGGUCUGCUAAGUUGGAUGUGAAAACUCUGGGCUUAACCCAGAGCCUGCAUUCAAUACUGACAGGCUAGAGUUCUGGAGGGGAUAGCGGAAUUCCUGGUGUAGCGGUGAAAUGCGUAGAUAUCAGGAGGAACACCGGUGGCGAAGGCGGCUAUCUGGACAGAGUCUGACGCUGAGGCGCGAAAGCUAGGGGAGCAAACAGG
RNAcentral lists this ribosomal RNA (254 nucleotides) under uncultured bacterium. RNAcentral's name for it is "partial 16S ribosomal RNA". It matches the Rfam family "Bacterial small subunit ribosomal RNA", at positions 524 to 776 of the family's 1533-position model. The record is from RNAcentral.